This is a non-coding RNA of Carassius gibelio (silver crucian carp), 438 nucleotides long. The record is from the annotation of a RefSeq genome assembly. Lineage: Eukaryota; Metazoa; Chordata; Actinopteri; Cypriniformes; Cyprinidae.
CUGAGAGCAGAACAGAACACAAUCUUCAUCAUCACACAAGACACAACAACAACAAUGAACAACAUCAUCAUCCUCAUCUGGACUCUGACGCUCUGCAUUCAGGAGAUCUGGGGACAAGUGACUGUGACUCAGAAUCCAGAAAUAAAAUCCAUCAAACAAGGAGAAACUGUUACGAUCAGCUGUAAAACCAGACAGUUGACUUCUGACUGUUACGACUGUGUGUCUUGGUAUCAGCAGAAACCUGGAGAAGCUCCUAAACUCCUCAUUUAUGACAUAAGAAGCCUUUAUACAGGAACUCCAUCUAGAUUCAGUGGCAGUGGAUCAAACUAUGGAAGUGAUUUCACUCUGACCAUCAGUGGAGUCCAGACUGAAGAUACAGGAGAUUAUUACUGUAUGAGUCUACAUCUGAUCAGUAGUAGCUAUGUGUUCACACAGUGA